Bombyx mori (domestic silkworm) is the source of this 753-nucleotide long non-coding RNA. RefSeq lists it as uncharacterized. Lineage: Eukaryota; Metazoa; Arthropoda; Insecta; Lepidoptera; Bombycidae. The transcript is spliced from 3 exons. The record is from RefSeq and is a predicted model, not a curated record.
CCCUAAUUUGUACUUUUGAAUAAAUUUGUUAAAUACAUAAGAAGAGAGCGAGUUGGCUAAAAUAUCUGGAACAGUCGAAGCAACAUAUGUUCAAUGUCAGCACCUCCAUGCCCACAGUACGGGCAUAUAACAUCUUCAAUAUUCUUCAAUUAAACGCAAACUUUUUAGGUGAGUGGGCACACGGCAAUGUCCAAAUCUUAAUCUGUUAAUUACAGUUAUCUGCUCCUGAGAGCUUAGUGUGGUGUUGGCAUAGCGAGGUUCGGUGGGCGGCGUCUUUUUUAUACCGGUAUUCCAACCAAAGUUGCUUCAGUGAAACGGAGAAUUCAGCAUGGAAAUCUGUAAAUGGAACUUUAAGGAGUGCGGAGUGAUCAAUGUCAAGAUUUCCAAUGGUAGCCCGGUCAGCUUCUUCAUUGCUCGUAAUUCCGGAAUGUGAAGUCAGAGAUUCUGUAUAUGCUUUAACCAACAGCGGAGAAAAGUCUUGAUCUUUGUAGCGUCGUGAACGAUUUCGGACACAGACUUUCUUAAAAUCAGCCUCUUCAUAAGAUGUUUUGAAGAAGAAAAACAAAGGAUGUUGUUUUUCAACGUGAAGUUGCUAAUAAGUUGAUUAUUGUCUUUGUCUAUAUUGAAGUUGUUACCCCAAGAUUCUUGAAGAUCUUUUAGGUCAUAAAAAUCAUCUUAUGUAAGCUCUUUUAAAAUAUAAGGCAUUCCUGGUUUUUGGCAGUGCAUAUUAAAGUAGCAUAUUGUUGUGGGCAA